CAAACCCACUCGAGCGUUGGGAACGGUAGUGGCGGGAUUCCCCGUUCAUUUGUAAAUAGGGUUUCAGAGUUCACAAAAAAUAAUUUAAUCAGAUCUGUAAGACCUUUCGUCUUCAUUUCCACCCUCUUUAGUCGAUUGAGCAGUUGUACUCUAGGUAAAAAUUUCUACCCUUAGAAUUCUCAAAUGAAAAUCUGAAUUUCCGUGCAAUUUCAUUUUUAUACUCUUUGGGGACACUGAACCUUCUAUUUUAGAGUGAGUUAUUGUGCCCAAAUUCUAGGUAAGAGAUUUCUACUUCAGAAUUCUCAGGGAACAUAUCAUUGUUUCUGAAUCAUAUUUUUUCAAAUAGAAAUCUGGAUUUCCUAGUCUUGGCAGUUUCCCCCGUCUCCCUUUUUUUAUUUUUUGGGUCAUUCUGGAAUCCUUGUUCUAUUGGAUAAUCGAUAGAAACUUACUUUGCCGGACCGAAUCUCUGCUUACUUUGUGAUUGCAACAUUUGAUUUCCCUAAUAUUAAGAGGAAGAGAAAGAUGAAGAUUUAUGCUUUUGAUUUUGAAAAUUUUUAUGAGAAUAUCAUCUUCAACAUCCUCAAGAGACUAGAAACUGAUACUUUGUUCAAUUUAAGGGUGGUAUUCAAGCAAUGGUAUAACCUGAUAUUUGAUCCUUAUUUUGCUAAUUUCAACCUCUCUUGUGCGGUACCUGAUAAUAUGAUCCAAUCCCCAGUGUCUGGUAGAAUGGAUUUUAUGAGAUACUCACUCUUGGUUCUAAUGAAUGGAGACAUGUCAAUUUGCCUCAAGUUUCUGUGAAAUAUAAUGGAAUACCCAUAUCUAUUAACAAUUUUUUGCACUCUGAUGAAACUGGUCAUAAGAUUGCACUCCCGUAUUACACUGCAAGAUAUGGUUACAUAAUGGAUUUAGAAGGGGUUUUAUCUUUUGUGGGAGCUUAUAGAGAUCAUGCUGAAGUAUGGAUUCUGGAGGACUUUUAUAAGAAAGAUUUUUGGACUAGACGACACUGCAUCAAGCUUCAAUUGAAAGCUUCGGUGAUAGGCAUUACUACCCUUUUGGUAGCCUUGGAAAUGGUAAAGUACUAUUAUUUGUAGACAGUUUUCUGGACUUUGAUUCCUGUUAUGUAGUUGAUGUGGGCCUGCAGCAGGUAAAGCAGAUACCAAUACCAUUUGUCAAGACUAAAAGAUGUCAUUGUAUUCCACACUUAAGCAGCCUCAUUUCAUGCUGUUCAUUACAGAAGGCCAUUUUGUAAUUUCCUCCGCGAUGAUGCUUGCCAAGGUUGAAAGGUUUGGUCAUAAGAACUGCCUCCAGUUUUUCUCAGGAUCUUCUAAAAGCUCUAUGAAUACUUGAUCAACUACUCAAACCAGGAAAUGAGGUUGCAUCCCUUCUUGUGUCUGACCCUCUUUUGGUAGACACCUUGGACCCUAUCAUAGGGAUACUUCCCCCAGCCGAGGACAAGAAGCAAUUCCCAAUAGGACCCCUACUUAUGAACAGAUCCCCUCGCAGAAACUUCCAUUAGAAGCUCUUCUACUGGCCUCUUCUCCCACAACCAUUCGGACCGAGAUUUUUGCGACUCUCUUCAGCACCAUAGAAGCUUCCUAUGGCUUUGGAGUUAGUAGUGGACCCUUUGAUCACUCCCUAUCAGGCAACAGUGGGUCACAUGAAGCAAACCUCUUGUGGUGUGUGUACCAACUACCAAGUCUCUCACUUAGCUCUUUUGAAUUCUUCUACAAGGAGUUCACUACCGGCCAUUUCGUGUACAUGAAACCUUCAUAGAGGAGGAAACUCACACAGGUAUCUGUGGACAACAAUUAUACACCGAAGGCAUAUUAAAUUACUGAUUAAUGUGUCUCACUUGGAAGGAAACUUACCUUUCUAAUGAUGUAAACCUCAUGAAUGAGAUGGAGUGAAUCUCUAGAAGUUUUCUUCUUAAUUUUUUGGAACUGGAAUUUCCUGAAAGGUUGUCCUUCAUUGUCA
Macadamia integrifolia is the source of this 1974-nucleotide long non-coding RNA. RefSeq lists it as uncharacterized. The record is from RefSeq and is a predicted model, not a curated record. The transcript is spliced from 2 exons. NCBI's taxonomy places the organism in Eukaryota, Viridiplantae, Streptophyta, Magnoliopsida, Proteales, Proteaceae.